This is a long non-coding RNA of Drosophila nasuta, 404 nucleotides long. RefSeq lists it as uncharacterized. The transcript is spliced from 3 exons. The record is from RefSeq and is a predicted model, not a curated record. Lineage: Eukaryota; Metazoa; Arthropoda; Insecta; Diptera; Drosophilidae.
AUUAUAUGGGGUCUCAAAAGAUUUCAGCGACAACAUAUGCUUAAUUCUUGACUUCGCAGACUGUGGAACACUCUACAAUUUCUUGCAUCAUUCUGAUGUCGACGUUACAUUUGACACGAAGCUUGAUUGUUUGCUGCAAUGUGCCAAGGGUGUGGAGUAUUUACACAGAAACCAAAGAAUUCUUCUGGAUCUUAAGACACACAACUUGUUGCUUUUCAAUAAAUUUCGUGUACUGAAAAUAUGUGGAUAUAGUAAAAGCACAAAUAUAAACUCUGAACUUGUGGGGAAAAUUGGUUAUUCAGCUCCAGAAAUAUUUACCGAAAAUGACCGUUCCAAUAAAUGCGAUGUAUUUAACUUGGGAAUCAUUUUUUGGGAAGUAAUGUCUAGGAAGAAGCCAUUUUACG